CAAAGGCAGUGGUGGUGUGGUCCCACAGGCAAUGUUCCUCUUCUGAGACCCCUCCUAUCUAUCUGCCUAACCAGCCUCUACCUGCCUCCUCUCUCAUUCCAGUGGUGACCCUAAUUGCCAUUAGAGGGAGAGGGUAGAUGACCGCUCAGGCUUCUUCAAGCUGUGAGAGGGCAUUGUUACUGUGGCAGUAAGGGAUCCUCCAGAGGAUGGUCUAAUGGGCCUGAGAGGAAGGGUUCUUUCACACAGGGUUCCAUCUGCAUCAUGAUCUGGAGUUUGAUGGCCUCUAUGCAAGAAGAAACAAAUUUGGCUAAAAGAUGUAACACACAUGGUCCAAAAACCAGACUUGAGAAUACGACACGGAGACAGAAGAAAAACAGAAUCAGAAGCAAAGCUGGAUAAUGAAUGGAAAUAGAAGUGGACAGAAGUGGAGAAAGAUGAGAUAGAUCACCAGAGAAAAGAGCAGAGGAUACAGACUUCUGAGAAAUUUUGUGAAGACUUGUCAAGUUUUGUUAAUGUUGGGAUGGCUUAUGGAGUCAACAGAAUAUGUUUCGAAGCUUAACUUUGCUCUCUAUUAGCUGUGUGAUAUUAAAUUCUUGAAUCUCUGUUCUUUCUUUUGAGCCCCUUUUUCCUACUAAUAAAUGUGCUGCCACAACAGGCAUUGUUGCUAAUGGGACUGGGCACCUCUUCAUCCUC
This 693-nucleotide long non-coding RNA is filed under the name Homo sapiens (human). RNAcentral describes it as "HSALNT0351128". The record is from RNAcentral. Lineage: Eukaryota; Metazoa; Chordata; Mammalia; Primates; Hominidae.